This 2024-nucleotide ribosomal RNA is filed under the name human gut metagenome. RNAcentral describes it as "bacterial LSU rRNA". It matches the Rfam family "Bacterial large subunit ribosomal RNA", at positions 523 to 2568 of the family's 2925-position model. The record is from RNAcentral.
ACCCCGAACAGGGGAGUGAAAUAGAACCUGAAACCAUACGCUUACAACCUGUCGGAGCAGCUUCGUGCUGUGACGGCGUGCCUAUUGAAUAAUGAGCCUACGAGUUACUAAUCACUGGCGAGGUUAAGUGCACGGAUGCACGGAGCCGAAGCGAAAGCGAGUCUUAAUAGGGCGUUUAGUCAGUGGUUGUAGACGCGAAACCUUGCGAUCUACCCUUGAGCAGGUUGAAGGUUGGGUAAAACCAACUGGAGGACCGAACGAAUAAGCGUUGAAAAGCUUCUCGAUGACUUGAGGGUAGGGGUGAAAGGCUAAUCAAGCUGGGAAAUAGCUCGUACUCCCCGAAAUGCCUUUAGGGGCAGCGUUGUAAUAAAGAGUCUACUGGAGGUAGAGCUACUGAUUGGAUGCGGGGGCUUCACCGCCUACCAAAUCCUGACAAACUCCGAAUGCCAGUAGUAUGAUUUACAGCAGUGAGCGACCGGGUGCUAAUGUCCGGUCACAAAAGAGGAACAACUCAGACCAGCAACUAAGGUCCCCAAGAGUAUACUAAGUUGAUCUAACGAUGUUUUGUUGCAGAGACAGCUAGGAUGUUAGCUUGGAAGCAGCUAUUCAUUCAAAGAGUGCGUAACAGCUCACUAGUCGAGCGACAAAGCGUGGAUAAUAAACGGGCAUCAAGUAUACCACCGAAGUUCUGGGCACGAAAGUGCGGUAGGGGAGCAUUCCAUUCAGCGUCGAAGCCGAAUCGUGAGAUUUGGUGGAGCGUAUGGAAAAGCAAAUGUAGGCAUGAGUAACGAUAAUGCGGGAGAGUAACCCGCACACCGCAAGACCAAGGUUUCCUGAUCAACGCUAAUCGGAUCAGGGUUAGUCGGGUCCUAAGGGUAAGCCGAACGGUGAUCUCGAUGGAUAAUCGGUUAAUAUUCCGAUACUGACAUAUACCUCGAUGGAGAGACGAAGGAACGUAAGUGCCGCCGCCUGACGGAAUAGGUGGUUAAAGGGCGUAGGUAUAGGGACAGAUUAAGAGUUAGUCCUUGCUGAACCCCGACAGUACAGAGAGCCUACGGGCAAUUUGAUAGUGCACCCAAGUCGACUUCCGAGAAAAUCUUCUAAGUUAUAGUAUAUGUCACCCGUACCGUAAACCGACACAGGUGGUCGAGGAGAGUAUCCUAAGGUGCUCGAGUGAAUCACGGUUAAGGAACUAGGCAAAUUAACCCCGUAACUUCGGGAAAAGGGGUCCCACCGCGAGGUGGGCGCAGCGAAGAGGUCCAGGCGACUGUUUAUCAAAAACACAGGGCUCUGCAAAUUCGAAAGAAGACGUAUAGGGCCUGACACCUGCCCGGUGCUGGAAGGUUAAGAGGGGAUGUCAUCGCAAGAGAAGCAUUGAAUCGAAGCCCCAGUAAACGGCGGCCGUAACUAUAACGGUCCUAAGGUAGCGAAAUUCCUUGUCGGGUAAGUUCCGACCUGCACGAAUGGUGUAACGAUCUGGACACUGUCUCAACCGUGAGCUCGGUGAAAUUGUAGUCCCGGUGAUGAUGCCGGGUACCCGCAACGGGACGAAAAGACCCCGUGAACCUUUACUAUAGCUUAACGCUGAAUUUGGGUACACAAUGUGUAGGAUAGGCAGGAGACUAUGAAGCGGGUACGCCAGUAUUCGUGGAGUCAACGUUGAAAUACUGCCCUUUGUGUAUUUGAGUUCUAACCCUCAAGAGGGGACACCGUUUGGUGGGUAGUUUGACUGGGGUGGUCGCCUCCAAAAGAGUAACGGAGGCUUCCCAAGGUACCCUCAGCACGAAUGGUAACCGUGCGUAGAGUGCAAUAGCAUAAGGGUGCUUGACUGUGAGACCAACAAGUCGAUCAGGUGCGAAAGCAGGGUAUAGUGAUCCGGUGGUUCUGCGUGGACUGGCCAUCGCUCAAAGGAUAAAAGGUACUCCGGGGAUAACAGGCUGAUCGCCGCCAAGAGCUCAUAUCGACGCGGCGGUUUGGCACCUCGAUGUCGGCUCGUCACAUCCUGGGGCUGGAGAAGGUCCCAA